Molecule: ribosomal RNA, 486 nt
Filed under: uncultured bacterium
Lineage: Bacteria
Description: partial 16S ribosomal RNA
Rfam family: Bacterial small subunit ribosomal RNA
Source: RNAcentral
AUUGAACGCUGGCGGCAUGCCUUACACAUGCAAGUCGAACGGCAGCACGGGUGCUUGCACCUGGUGGCGAGUGGCGAACGGGUGAGUAAUACAUCGGAACAUGUCCUGUAGUGGGGGAUAGCCCGGCGAAAGCCGGAUUAAUACCGCAUACGAUCUACGGAUGAAAGCGGGGGACCUUCGGGCCUCGCGCUAUAGGGUUGGCCGAUAGCUGAUUAGCUAGUUGGUGGGGUAAAGGCCUACCAAGGCGACGAUCAGUAGCUGGUCUGAGAGGACGUCCAGCCACACUGGGACUGAGACACGGCCCAGACUCCUACGGGAGGCAGCAGUGGGGAAUUUUGGACAAUGGGCGAAAGCCUGAUCCAGCAAUGCCGCGUGUGUGAAGAAGGCCUUCGGGUUGUAAAGCACUUUUGUCCGGAAAGAAAUCCUUGGCUCUAAUACAGUCGGGGGAUGACGGUACCGGAAGAAUAAGCACCGGCUAACUACGUG